RNAcentral lists this long non-coding RNA (309 nucleotides) under Cricetulus griseus (Chinese hamster). RNAcentral describes it as "lncRNA (ENSCGRG00015034093.1)". The record is from RNAcentral. Lineage: Eukaryota; Metazoa; Chordata; Mammalia; Rodentia; Cricetidae.
GGAUAAGGGCAGCCAGGGAGGACUGCACUUCAGGGUGACAGUGGCCUGUGGCCCAAGAGAUCUUUGAGGAAACGUACAUUUUUAGAUCAUAAGGAGGCAAAGUAUCCCAUAGGAGCUUAGUUUAUACAUGAUGUCAAUACAGUGCAAGCUGAAGCUAAUCAGGGGAAGCAGCCCCCAGGGGAGCCAGGCUGGUGAGAGGCCUCAGGAGAGAUGCUGUGGAUUCCAGGCAGUAUAUUGUUUUCUGCCAGAUCAUUUUUGGAAGAAGCAAUACUCCAAGCCAGCAUUUCUCUCGGAAAUAUAAUGGGUAGG